This 2363-nucleotide long non-coding RNA is filed under the name Nicotiana benthamiana. RNAcentral describes it as "long non-coding RNA (NBEN_LNC035892)". Lineage: Eukaryota; Viridiplantae; Streptophyta; Magnoliopsida; Solanales; Solanaceae. The record is from RNAcentral.
CUAUUUGGGCCAAAAAUGUGACCCACGUUGGGCGCCCCACGUCCCCGCGUGUGUUUCAGUUGCAGCCGAUGGGCCUCUCAUGUGAGGCCUGCUUAACAACUGUCCAAUUGGAUCAAGCAUCGAACCCCGGGGAAGGGACUGAUAUUUGAAUCAACGGCUCCCAAUCAUAUUUAACAUUUAACAAAACUAACACUUGUUUUAAUUUUGCCAAACUAUUCCAACCUAUCAGAGUUAACAAAUCAAAUUUAUUAUUCUGGUUACCCAAUGACAUCAAUGUUCAAGAAAAUACUAAUUUCAAAUGACCUUCUAUAAUCAUGCAAGACUUGACACUGAAAUAACUACCCGGAAAUAAAAUCUAAUUAACUAAAGCUAAGUACGAGUUCUAAUUUCCAGUUUGCAAGUUCAAACUAUAUCAGUCCACUAUUGUCCUGACUCCAAAUAGCAACUAUACAAUCCAAUUUUAAUUAACUUGAAUAAACAACUAAAUCAUAGAAAAACAUAACUAUACUAUUCAAAAGUAGAUCAACAGCAGCAUGCUUCAAUUUCCUUCUUCAUUUCAGCUGAAAUUUACAUACUGAGAUUCAGAACAAGUACCUGAAAUUGGAAAAUAAAGUGAGAAGAAAAAGAGGUUAGCAACAGCAAUUGCAAAAGCCAAAAGCAGCAACUAGGAUCACUUUUUCGAACAAAAUUACUUCAAAACCUAGGAACCUAAUCACAGAAUACCAUACAGAACCUAAUACCCCUUUAGCUGACCCAACAAACUCGAAUUCAACCAGUAAACAUCAGAAAUUUCAGCAGCAAAACCACAACAAGGUGAAAAUCAAUGGAAUAGUGAUUUCCUCUUCUUUUUUUUAGUUUUCUAGAGAUUUCUACUGUUUUUGGAUUUUUGUUUUUGGAUUUAAAAUACAACAAUGCAGAUUUAUAUAAAGAGAAAAUAUUUUGGGAAUUUCUAUUUUUGAUGGCCAAAAAGAAAAGUCCCUUCCUCAAGACACUUGCCCUUGCCCUUUUAUAUGCAACAAAAAGAGGGCAAAUCAAAUUUUCGAUUUCUUUUUAAAUCCCUCCCUAAAUUUUAGCUUGGUCCCUUUAUUAUUGACUUGCUAAACAAGUAAGUACCUCUAUUGUGCUAAAAUCUACAAUAAAGUACCAUUCUAGAAGGCCCUAGGAUGCUCUUCCACCCACCAAAUACCUAUAUAAUCCUUACCUUACUUUGAAAUUACUAUUCCUAAAGAAACUACCCUUUUCUAUCCCUAAAAUGCCCUUAUUAUCUCAUAGAAUUACUGCUCAACCCAAAGCUCAAUCAGCUGCCCAUCACACUAAGAUGUACCCCCAAAACCUCUAAUAAUGUAUUAAUAUUAACUAAACUGAAGAACUGAUUACCCAAUUUAUUCAAAGCACAAAGCUAAUCAGAAUGUAAAAAAUAAGAAAGAUAAACAGCCAUGAACAAGUAUCAGUCAGGUAACUAUAAUAGAAUCAGAAUGCAUCAAUAUGGAAAUUAAAACAAUAUGAGAGUGAAAAUCAAGAAGGGACGGUUUAUCAGAAAGAUAUUUAACUAGAAUUGAAUUAUGCUAAUUGAGACCAAAUUAACCUUAACAACUAAGCUAACCACUGACCAACUACAGCUAAAAUCAAACAAAGCUGAAAUAGAAAUUAACCUAAACAUUUGCAAAUUACUUGAUGGACAGAAUUGUAUCGACCUAAACUAAUCAAUUAAGACGGUUAAAACUAAGACUAUGACCAACUAACAAGCUAAAACAUAAAAAUUAGAACUAGGCAGGGCUUAUUAACUAACAAAAGGAACAACGAAAAAAAAAGAAAUUAAACCUAAUAUUACAUGAAAUUAAUAGAACACGUACUGGGGAAAUCACUCGACCUUAGAAAAUUCCCCAAAAGCCAUUUGAACCCGCAUAAACCCUACAUUUGAACUCUGAGAUGGCCUGGUGAACUUCAACGGAAAUUGACCACGGAUUGGUGAAGGGGAAGACAGGGAGACUACCUGGAAUCAAUUUGGUCUUAUUUGGAUGAUUUUGUGUUUGGACUCGAGCUUCGAAUGCAUAUUCGAAGCACCUGAGUUUGAUUCGAGGGAUUUCAAGUGGGGAUUCAUGAUGAGGGAUAGGAGGGGGAGCUACCGUGUUAUUUUUGGUAUCAUGGAGGCGGCGGCGGCACUGGUGGCAGAGGAUAUUAGGGCGUCGGGAUUAGGGUUCAUGGGAGGUCACUGGGAGAUGGGGAGAUGAGGGUAAUGAGAUAGGGGUGGGGGGGUUUGUUCAGACUAGGACGAUCUCCGUUGUCUGAUCAAGAAGCAAUGGUUGAGAUCAUUCUCUGAAACGGCGUCGUUUGGACUCUUUCAUAGGCGGACUAGGUUGAAC